This 1435-nucleotide ribosomal RNA is filed under the name uncultured organism. RNAcentral describes it as "partial small subunit ribosomal RNA". It matches the Rfam family "Bacterial small subunit ribosomal RNA". The record is from RNAcentral.
CGGCGUGCUUAACACAUGCAAGUCGAACGGAAAGGCCCUGCUUUUGUGGGGUGCUCGAGUGGCGAACGGGUGAGUAACACGUGAGUAACCUGCCCUUGACUUUGGGAUAACUUCAGGAAACUGGGGCUAAUACCGGAUAGGAGCUCCUGCUGCAUGGUGGGGGUUGGAAAGUUUCGGCGGUUGGGGAUGGACUCGCGGCUUAUCAGCUUGUUGGUGGGGUAGUGGCUUACCAAGGCUUUGACGGGUAGCCGGCCUGAGAGGGUGACCGGCCACAUUGGGACUGAGAUACGGCCCAGACUCCUACGGGAGGCAGCAGUGGGGAAUAUUGCACAAUGGGCGGAAGCCUGAUGCAGCAACGCCGCGUGCGGGAUGACGGCCUUCGGGUUGUAAACCGCUUUCGCCUGUGACGAAGCGUGAGUGACGGUAAUGGGUAAAGAAGCACCGGCUAACUACGUGCCAGCAGCCGCGGUGAUACGUAGGGUGCGAGCGUUGUCCGGAUUUAUUGGGCGUAAAGGGCUCGUAGGUGGUUGAUCGCGUCGGAAGUGUAAUCUUGGGGCUUAACCCUGAGCGUGCUUUCGAUACGGGUUGACUUGAGGAAGGUAGGGGAGAAUGGAAUUCCUGGUGGAGCGGUGGAAUGCGCAGAUAUCAGGAGGAACACCAGUGGCGAAGGCGGUUCUCUGGGCCUUUCCUGACGCUGAGGAGCGAAAGCGUGGGGAGCGAACAGGCUUAGAUACCCUGGUAGUCCACGCUGUAAACGGUGGGUACUAGGUGUGGGGUCCAUUCCACGGGUUCCGUGCCGUAGCUAACGCUUUAAGUACCCCGCCUGGGGAGUACGGCCGCAAGGCUAAAACUCAAAGGAAUUGACGGGGCCCCGCACAAGCGGCGGAGCAUGCGGAUUAAUUCGAUGCAACGCGUAGAACCUUACCUGGGUUUGACAUGGAUCGGGAGUGCUCAGAGAUGGGUGUGCCUCUUUUGGGGUCGGUUCACAGGUGGUGCAUGGCUGUCGUCAGCUCGUGUCGUGAGAUGUUGGGUUAAGUCCCGCAACGAGCGCAACCCUUGUUCACUGUUGCCAGCACGUUAUGGUGGGGACUCAGUGGAGACCGCCGGGGUCAACUCGGAGGAAGGUGGGGAUGACGUCAAGUCAUCAUGCCCCUUAUGUCCAGGGCUUCACGCAUGCUACAAUGGCUGGUACAGAGAGUGGCGAGCCUGUGAGGGUGAGCGAAUCUCGGAAAGCCGGUCUCAGUUCGGAUUGGGGUCUGCAACUCGACCUCAUGAAGUCGGAGUCGCUAGUAAUCGCAGAUCAGCAACGCUGCGGUGAAUACGUUCCCGGGGCUUGUACACACCGCCCGUCAAGUCAUGAAAGUUGGUAACACCCGAAGCCGGUGGCCUAACCGUUGUGGGGGAGCCGUCGAAGGUGGGACUGGUGAUUAGGACU